Molecule: transfer RNA, 67 nt
Filed under: Corynorhinus rafinesquii (Rafinesque's big-eared bat)
Lineage: Eukaryota; Metazoa; Chordata; Mammalia; Chiroptera; Vespertilionidae
Description: tRNA-Lys
Source: RNAcentral
CACUGAGAAGCUAAUCAGCGAUAACCUUUUAAGUUAGAGAUUGGAAGCCUUGAUCUUCCCUCAGUGG